CCCUUAGAUGUUCUGGGCCGCACGCGCGCUACACUGACGAUGGCAACGAGUUUUUCCUUCGCCGAAAGGUGUGGGUAAUCUUUUGAAACAUCGUCGUGCUGGGGAUAGAUCAUUGCAAUUUUUGAUCUUGAACGAGGAAUUCCUAGUAAGCGCGAGUCAUCAGCUCGCGGUGAUUACGUCCCUGCCCUUUGUACACACCGCCCGUCGCUACUACCGAUUGAAUGGUUUAGUGAGGACUCCUGAUUGGCGCCGCCGCCCCGGCAACGGAGCAGCGGACUGCCGAAAAGUUGUUCAAACUUGAUCAUUUAGAGGAAGUAAAAGUCGUAACA
This 329-nucleotide ribosomal RNA is filed under the name uncultured eukaryote. RNAcentral's name for it is "partial 18S ribosomal RNA". It matches the Rfam family "Eukaryotic small subunit ribosomal RNA", at positions 1470 to 1796 of the family's 1831-position model. The record is from RNAcentral.